GCAGACGUGCAUCCCUUCCGGCCUGAGGGCCCUCCUGGCCGUGACUCCCGCCCCGCUCCUCCUCCAAAGAGAGAUCGGGGCCGCUGACAGGGGCCCUCCGUAGCCAUGGGGGAUGGGACUGGGGGGUCGGUUCCAGCCACGGUGCAGCCGCCGCCGGGCAGACCGCCGGGCUUGGCCGCAGCCACGGCGACAUCUAGCCCCGGUUCUGCGAGGCUUGGGAGCGCCAGCCAGCUUGGGAGUGGCCAGGCAGCUGUUGCCAGCAGGACAGCGCGCUGGGAAGCCAGGGGCCGCGGGGACCUGGGGCUGGAAACCACAUCUGCCCACAGCCACAGUCUCCUGCACCUGUCAUCCUGGCGGCGCCCUGGCGUCGGAGAAGCAGCAGACGCGGAGCUCCUGCAGCUGGCACCGCUGCAGCAACCGGUCCCGGUGCAGGCGUCAGUGGAAGGCGGCCUCCUCGCGCGGCUCCCGUGGCCUCAGGACCAGGGGUGCGGCCAGCACCGCCCUCACGCCCCGCACCUCGUCUACAUUGUCCUCCCUGGAGGCGGCUGGACCUGAGUAAGGCUCACAGCGAUCGGCCCCCGCAAGGACUGGCAUGCAGGGCUCAGGAUCCCGCACUCUGGCCCUGCGGCACCGCACCUUUCAGCAGCAGCUGGAACUCCUGCAGCAGCGCCUUGGGUGGGAUGCUGGGGCCCGGGGUUCCUGGCAGGCCGAACUUCAGCUUCUUGUCUUGGCCCCUGAUCCUCUUCCUGUUGUUGAACCUUUGUCACUCUGCAACGAAAAGCAUCCAGGCGUCCUUGAUUUCGGCACUGCGUGCACGCUCAGCCGAGCUCAUCGGACGGGCGGUUCUCCCCAGGCCCGCUGGCAGCUUGUUCCCUGGGGGCGGCUCCUGGACGCAGCUCUUUGCAGGCCCACCAGGCUCAGGGGAGCCAAGGCCCGCCGCGGCCAACAGGCCUGUGGAGAGUAAGAGUAAGGUGGGCUCUGCAGGGCAGCGGCCCGGAACCAUGAGAGAAGCGCGUCAGUCUGGGCUCCAAGCGCAGCCUCUCGGGAUUCUCCGGGACCCACGGCUUAUAAUGCGCUUAAAUCCCACGCCUCGCACGAGAGACAGCAAGUCACCGUCACCGCCUACCGCCCCUGACCCGCUCCCACUCUCGCUGCAGCGGAGGGUGUGUGGGAGAGAGAGGGACGCAGGGAGGGAAAAGCGCGGGGAGGGCGAACAUCUUUUCAUAAGCUUUCCGCCUUCUAUAUGCCAUCUCUGAUGGGAGCCUCUUUAGAUCUUUUGUCCAUUUACUAAUUGGGUGGCUUGAAUUCUUAUUGUUGAGUUGUAAGUGGUUUUUAAUGGUCUGGAUGCAAGACAGGUGUUUUACAAAUAUUUUCUUCCUGUCUGUGGCUUGUUUCUUCAUUCUCUUAAUAUUUCCUUUCCCAGAGCAAAAGUUUUUAAUUGUAACGAAGUCACAGAUGUGACUCACAGAUGUGAGCCACCGCACCCAGCCAAAAUUGAUACAUUUAAAAUAUACUAUUUUUAAUAUAAAUGGAAGAUGGAGAAUCACUAUGAGUAUUUCAUUAAUAUUUUGUGGGAAGCCUAAUAAAAAUAAAAUUUCCUGUGAGUAUACCUCACCCCUCCAAAUGUUGAGGCACUUCUCCAAGGAACAGUUCUUUGGCUGAUUUUUGGUGUUUUAUCUUCCACCAGUAGUAAAAUGAAUGACAUGACUUAUGGCCCAAGGCUUUACUCAGAAGCUUGGUGCCUGUUACCAGCGCUGCUGGGAGCUCCUGAGGUAGACACAAAGGCCAGGUGUCAGGGAGACUACCCAAGAGCAAAGAGCCGGAGAGGGGAGGCAGGUGCUGUUGGACAAAAUUGCCAUCACUAGGCAGGUGCUGUGAAUACAACAUAGAUCUGAGUCAGAUUCCAUAUGCAGGGUCCGGGGUGAGUGCCUCGGAUCACUGUCUGGCUGGAAUUCUCCAGAAACCUGGUUUAUACAGUGUAAUUGAAACUUGAAGCAGCAUCUGAUGCACUUGGGGCAAGGCCGAUUAGAACUAGGUGAUUGGAACACGGUCUGGCUAGGAAGGAAGGGACCAUGCGCAUCAGGGCAGAAACCGCAGGCGGGCAGAUGGCCAUUACAGCCCAGCGGGCUGCCCAUUACUCUCCUCCAGGCCCAGGAGACUAAACACACUUGAGUCGCAACUGCCUCUGGACGUGGGAACUGUGGUCUUGUUUCCAGUCACCUAUCUCAGCAAGAAGGAGCUUCCGUUGUGCUUGCAGACUUGACCCUACUAGUCUGGGCUGGGGAGUUCUGUGUCUGCCCAUGGCUGGUCAUUAUUGUCUACAAAACCUACUGUGUGAUCUGUAAGAAUUUUUAUGACUAGCUAGCUCAAGGGCAUGAUGACAUGCCUAUGCUAUUGCUGAGGGAAUAUCUCUGUUUUCAGGUGAAGGUUUUUUCUAAUUUUAUGUUCAGAAUUACAUACAAGAGGCACAGUGGAGGUAUAUAAAUGAAGAUGAAUCCACCAGCAUUCUUUCAAAAUACUGAACCACACUUUCUGGUAGACAUUGGGGUGGAGUGGCUGCAAGCAGAGUGUCUGGGUUGGAAUUCUCAUUCCACAGCUUCAUGCUAUGCGAUAGUGAGUAACUUACUUUUCCUCUCUGUGUCACAGUUUCCUAGUCUCUAAAAACAGAUAAUAGUGACCUACCUUAUAGACUGUUAUGAAGAUUAAAUUAAUUUAUAUAUGUAAAUAAGACUUGGAACAUAGAUUUUCUGUAAAUGUUAGCCAUUGUUAUUGCUCCUAUUGACCUGAAGUAUAAAAACAGAAAUGUGACCCUGGUCCUUGACCUUGGGUGGCAUCACCAGAUAAGCAAUAGUUUAGGGAAAAAUGUUUGUACUGGGUAUUUUCAUUAUUCAAAAUAUUAUUAAUAAUGUGCUAUUAAGAU
This is a long non-coding RNA of Homo sapiens (human), 2920 nucleotides long. The record is from Ensembl. NCBI's taxonomy places the organism in Eukaryota, Metazoa, Chordata, Mammalia, Primates, Hominidae.